Molecule: ribosomal RNA, 250 nt
Filed under: uncultured Chroococcidiopsis sp.
Lineage: Bacteria; Bacillati; Cyanobacteriota; Cyanophyceae; Chroococcidiopsidales; Chroococcidiopsidaceae
Description: partial 16S ribosomal RNA
Rfam family: Bacterial small subunit ribosomal RNA
Source: RNAcentral
CUAGCCGUAAACGAUGGAUACUAGGCGUUGUGAGUAUCGACCCUCACAGUGUCGUAGCUAACGCGUUAAGUAUCCCGCCUGGGGAGUACGCGCGCAAGCGUGAAACUCAAAGGAAUUGACGGGGGCCCGCACAAGCGGUGGAAUAUGUGGUUUAAUUCGAUGCAACGCGAAGAACCUUACCAGGACUUGACAUGUCGCGAAUCUCAGGGAAACUUGAGAGUGCCUUCGGGAGCGCGAACACAGGUGGUGC